RNAcentral lists this ribosomal RNA (443 nucleotides) under uncultured bacterium. Its description in RNAcentral is "partial 16S ribosomal RNA". It matches the Rfam family "Bacterial small subunit ribosomal RNA", at positions 338 to 795 of the family's 1533-position model. The record is from RNAcentral.
CCUACGGGUGGCAGCAGUGGGGAAUAUUGGGCAAUGUGCGCAAGCCUGACCCAGCAACGCCGCGUGAAGGAAGAAGGCUUUCGGGUUGUAAACUUCUUUUCUCCGGGACGAGGAAAGUGACGGUACCUGAGGAAUAAGUCACGGCUAAAUACGUGCCAGCAGCCGCGGUAAUACGUAGGUGGACAGCGUUAUCAGAAUUUAUUGGGUGUAACGGGCGUGUUGGCGGGAGCGGAAGUCAGAUGUGAAAACUCAGGGCUUAACCCUGGGCCUGCAUUUGAAACUGUGUUUCUUGAGUGCGGGGGAGGCAAUCGGAAUUCCGUGGGUAGCGGUGAAAUGCGUAGAUAUACGGAGGAACACCAGUGGCGAAGGCGGAUUGCUGGACAGUAACUGACGCUGAGGCGCGAAAGCGUGGGGAGCAAACAGGAUUAGAUACCCGAGUAGUC